AGAUUGAACGCUGGCGGCAUGCCUUACACAUGCAAGUCGAACGGCAGCACGGGAGCAAUCCUGGUGGCGAGUGGCGAACGGGUGAGUAAUAUAUCGGAACGUGCCCAGUCGUGGGGGAUAACGCAGCGAAAGCUGUGCUAAUACCGCAUACGACUACUAUGGAUGAAAGGCGGGGAUCGCAAGACCUCGCGCGACUUGGAGCGGACCGAUAUCACGUAUUAGCUAGUUGGUAGGGGUAAACGCCGUAACAAGGUCCGACGACUC
Molecule: ribosomal RNA, 264 nt
Filed under: uncultured soil bacterium
Lineage: Bacteria
Description: partial 16S ribosomal RNA
Rfam family: Bacterial small subunit ribosomal RNA
Source: RNAcentral